GCGCAGGUGGUGGAACGGUAGACACGCAACGUUGAGGUCGUUGUGCCUUCGGGUGUGGGGGUUCAAAUCCCCCUCUGCGCACCA
RNAcentral lists this transfer RNA (84 nucleotides) under Sulfurimonas autotrophica. RNAcentral describes it as "tRNA-Leu". It matches the Rfam family "tRNA". Rfam says of the family: Transfer RNA (tRNA) molecules are approximately 80 nucleotides in length. Their secondary structure includes four short double-helical elements and three loops (D, anti-codon, and T loops). The record is from RNAcentral. Lineage: Bacteria; Pseudomonadati; Campylobacterota; Epsilonproteobacteria; Campylobacterales; Sulfurimonadaceae. RNAcentral also lists the same sequence under 11 other names.